This 494-nucleotide ribosomal RNA is filed under the name uncultured bacterium. Its description in RNAcentral is "partial 16S ribosomal RNA". It matches the Rfam family "Bacterial small subunit ribosomal RNA", at positions 28 to 507 of the family's 1533-position model. The record is from RNAcentral.
GACGAACGCUGGCGGCGUGCUUAACACAUGCAAGUCGAACGGUGAAGCGCCUUCCUUUUUGGUGGGUGUGGAUGAGUGGCGAACGGGUGAGUAACACGUGAGUAACCUGCCCCCUUCUUCUGGAUAACCGCAUGAAAGUGUGUCUAAUACGGGAUAUUCUGGGUCUGUCGCAUGAUGGGUCUGGGAAAGAUAUUGUUUCGGUGGGGGAUGGGCUCGCGGCCUAUCAGCUUGUUGGUGGGGUGAUGGCCUACCAAGGCGGUGACGGGUAGCCGGCCUGAGAGGGUGGACGGCCACACGGGGAAGGAGACACGGCCCAGACUCCUACGGGAGGCAGCAGUGGGGAAUAUUGCACAAUGGGCGCAAGCCUGAUGCAGCGACGCCGCGUGAGGGAUGGAGGCCGUCGGGUUGUGAACCUCUUUCGCCAGUGAAGCAGGCCUGCCUCGUUUGUGGGUGGGUUGACGGUAGCUGGAUAAGAAGCGCCGGCUAACUACGUG